Molecule: transfer RNA, 76 nt
Filed under: Candidatus Kaiserbacteria bacterium
Lineage: Bacteria; Candidatus Kaiseribacteriota
Description: tRNA-Val
Rfam family: tRNA
About the family: Transfer RNA (tRNA) molecules are approximately 80 nucleotides in length. Their secondary structure includes four short double-helical elements and three loops (D, anti-codon, and T loops).
Source: RNAcentral
GCGCGGUUAGCUCAGUUGGUAGAGCAACUCUUUUACACAGAGAAGGUCGGGGGUUCAAGUCCCUCACCGCGCACCA